GCAGCUGGAACCAUUCCGGUAUUGUGGCGCGAUUGUGUUCAUGGUGUUGCUCGAUUUAAUUGGCAAAUUAUGCGCGUUACGUGCCACGUGAAUGUAAUUAGUAUAUUUCUUGGUAGAAAGUAAAUACUUAUUCGUCGAAGUUUCUUUGAUUAGGAUAAUUUUUUGUAACUAGCUGCUCAGGACAAUAUAAUUACAAUGAGAUGCACGUGUUGGAUACAAUUGAGUGGGAUGGAAUCACUCUCCUGGACAAGGAAUUGCAGAGACAGGUUGAGGCUAAUCAUGAAGAUCUUCUUUCCUGAGAAACACUGGUUAGGGUGCUUCCUGUUAUGCAGAUACAUCACACAAGGUUCAUGGGUAGCACGCCACUGAUCGACCACGCCACAGACCGACACGGCGCAGGUCUGAGGGGGGGGGGUGGACGCUUGCCGUCUGCGCACGCCAUUGUGGGUAAAAGUAGUGAGCGACGCCUGGAGAGACGCUGUUCCUUCGGAGACGCCACUGGACGGAGGGCGCCGGUCUGCCACCUCUUGUGGUGUGAACGGGGACCAGUGCAAGCAGCCAUGGAAACAUGGCGGUCGACUCCACGCGUUCUACCUUUCGAACCUAAGCGCGGGUUGUAUAGCUCACAGGCGCUUACGACACGUCCAGUGGGCAGAAGACGAUUUCUUGCGAAGAUAU
Molecule: non-coding RNA, 678 nt
Organism: Zootermopsis nevadensis
Lineage: Eukaryota; Metazoa; Arthropoda; Insecta; Blattodea; Termopsidae
Source: RefSeq, a predicted model, not a curated record